Molecule: transfer RNA, 70 nt
Filed under: Ornithorhynchus anatinus (platypus)
Lineage: Eukaryota; Metazoa; Chordata; Mammalia; Monotremata; Ornithorhynchidae
Rfam family: tRNA
About the family: Transfer RNA (tRNA) molecules are approximately 80 nucleotides in length. Their secondary structure includes four short double-helical elements and three loops (D, anti-codon, and T loops).
Source: Rfam by way of RNAcentral
GGAUGUAGCUCAGUGGUAAAGCACAUGGUUUACAUGUAUGAGGCCCCAGGUUCAAACCCCGCCAAAUCCA